This 292-nucleotide ribosomal RNA is filed under the name uncultured bacterium. Its description in RNAcentral is "partial 16S ribosomal RNA". It matches the Rfam family "Bacterial small subunit ribosomal RNA", at positions 505 to 796 of the family's 1533-position model. The record is from RNAcentral.
GUGUCAGCAGCCGCGGUAAUACGAAGGGGGCUAGCGUUGCUCGGAAUUACUGGGCGUAAAGGGAGCGUAGGCGGACAUUUAAGUCAGGGGUGAAAUCCCGAGGCUCAACCUCGGAACUGCCUUUGAUACUGGGUGUCUUGAGUGUGAGAGAGGUGAGUGGAACUCCGAGUGUAGAGGUGAAAUUCGUAGAUAUUCGGAAGAACACCAGUGGCGAAGGCGACUCACUGGCUCAUUACUGACGCUGAGGCUCGAAAGCGUGGGGAGCAAACAGGAUUAGAUACCCUGGUAGUCC